GCUGAUUAGGUGUUUUGCAUAUCAAUUUUUCGUGUUGGGGGAGGUAGCUAGUUUUACUAAUCGGUA
Molecule: transfer RNA, 66 nt
Filed under: Acanthoparyphium sp. WAK-2018
Lineage: Eukaryota; Metazoa; Platyhelminthes; Trematoda; Plagiorchiida; Himasthlidae
Description: tRNA-Glu
Source: RNAcentral